GUAUUUGUAGCUUAAACCCCAAAGCAUAGUACUGAAAAUGCUAAGAUGAGACUGACCUCUCCAAACACA
This 69-nucleotide transfer RNA is filed under the name Leiolepis reevesii (Reeves' butterfly lizard). RNAcentral describes it as "tRNA-Phe". It matches the Rfam family "tRNA". Rfam says of the family: Transfer RNA (tRNA) molecules are approximately 80 nucleotides in length. Their secondary structure includes four short double-helical elements and three loops (D, anti-codon, and T loops). The record is from RNAcentral. Lineage: Eukaryota; Metazoa; Chordata; Lepidosauria; Squamata; Agamidae.